This 479-nucleotide ribosomal RNA is filed under the name uncultured bacterium. RNAcentral describes it as "partial 16S ribosomal RNA". It matches the Rfam family "Bacterial small subunit ribosomal RNA", at positions 28 to 507 of the family's 1533-position model. The record is from RNAcentral.
GAUGAACGCUAGCGGGAGGCCUAACACAUGCAAGCCGAGCGGUAGAGUCUCUUCGGAGACUUGAGAGCGGCGCACGGGUGCGGAACACGUGUGCAACCUGCCUUUAUCUGGGGGAUAGCCUUUCGAAAGGAAGAUUAAUACCCCAUAAUAUACUGGAUGGCAUCAUCUGGUAUUGAAAACUCCGGUGGAUAGAGAUGGGCACGCGCAAGAUUAGAUAGUUGGUGAGGUAACGGCUCACCAAGUCAGCGAUCUUUAGGGGGCCUGAGAGGGUGAUCCCCCACACUGGUACUGAGACACGGACCAGGCUCCUACGGGAGGCAGCAGUGAGGAAUAUUGGACAAUGGGUGAGAGCCUGAUCCAGCCAUCCCGCGUGAAGGACGACGGCCCUAUGGGUUGUAAACUUCUUUUGUAUAGGGAUAAACCUAGAUACGUGUAUCUAGCUGAAGGUACUAUACGAAUAAGCACCGGCUAACUCCGUG